Polyodon spathula (Mississippi paddlefish) is the source of this 652-nucleotide long non-coding RNA. RefSeq lists it as uncharacterized. The transcript is spliced from 3 exons. Lineage: Eukaryota; Metazoa; Chordata; Actinopteri; Acipenseriformes; Polyodontidae. The record is from RefSeq and is a predicted model, not a curated record.
CACAUACUCACGUAAUGAUCCAGUGAGAUACUGCACGUACAGCACUAGAGGAUCAGAUGAUCAGAUUGAUCAGAUGUGACACUGCUCACUCUGCUAGCCAGUCCACUCUUUUGCCGGUUCAGAAAUGGUGCACCAUCUAUUGUAAUCCCAGUUAUUUUCUCCAAGAGGAGUAAGGAAGGAUAAUGGAGCUGCAGCCAUGGAGCCAGCACGAACCCGACUCACCGUUUCACUGCACAAAAAGCCAAGCACCACCCAGGGAAAAGGGCAAUCACUACAAGAGCAGUUUCCCAGGGGUCACAAAAGUGGUUAAACAGGCGCCCCUGACAGAAGACCCAGGACCACCAUGGCCUAAAGAGGAGACAAGGGGAAUACCUCCACCCCACAUCCCUGACCAAUCCACCUGCCAACCCACCCACAACCCAGACAAAGGGAGAGGGGUUGGUGUUUUAAGGGGGGAGUUGGCCAAUUGUGGCCAUGUGUGCAUUGCAUAAGGAGGGAGGUAUGUGGCAGGGCAGAAGCCCUGCUGGUUUAAAUAGUUUGUGGGGGAAUAUAAGGUUGGCAGGUUAAAUUUGUCCCUGCCAGUAAUCACAGGUGUGACCAUUCCCCAGGUAUAUCAUUGAGUGCUAACUGGAGAGUGGCCACAUGUAUAAAA